This 279-nucleotide ribosomal RNA is filed under the name uncultured bacterium. Its description in RNAcentral is "partial 16S ribosomal RNA". It matches the Rfam family "Bacterial small subunit ribosomal RNA", at positions 506 to 784 of the family's 1533-position model. The record is from RNAcentral.
UGCCAGCAGCCGCGGUAAUACGGAGGGUGCAAGCGUUAUCCGGAAUCACUGGGUUUAAAGGGUGCGUAGGUGGACUAGUAAGUCAGAGGUGAAAUCCCGCAGCUUAACUGCGGAACUGCCUUUGAUACUGCUUGUCUUGAAUCAGGUUGAGGUAUGCGGAAUGUGGCAUGUAGCGGUGAAAUGCGUAGAUAUGCCAUAGAACACCGAUUGCGAAGGCAGCAUACUGGCCCUGUAUUGACACUGAUGCACGAAAGCGUGGGGAGCGAGCAGGAUUAGAUA